RNAcentral lists this ribosomal RNA (445 nucleotides) under uncultured bacterium. RNAcentral describes it as "partial 16S ribosomal RNA". It matches the Rfam family "Bacterial small subunit ribosomal RNA", at positions 354 to 796 of the family's 1533-position model. The record is from RNAcentral.
GUGAGGAAUAUUGCGCAAUGGAGGCAACUCUGACGCAGCCAUGCCGCGUGCAGGAAGAAGGCGCUACGCGUUGUAAACUGCUUUUAACCGGGAAGAAACCCCAGGACGUGUCCUGGGUUGACGGUACCGGAGGAAUAAGCACCGGCUAACUUCGUGCCAGCAGCCGCGGUAAUACGAAGGGUGCAAGCGUUAUCCGGCUUCAUUGGGUUUAAAGGGUGCGUAGGCGGAGCGUUAAGUCAGUGGUGAAAUCCUGCAGCUUAACUGUAGACUUGCCAUUGAUACUGGCGCUCUUGAGUGCGCUUGAAGUGGGCGGAAUGUGCCGUGUAGCGGUGAAAUGCUUAGAUAUGGCACAGAACACCAAUUGCGAAGGCAGCUCACUAAGGCGAUACUGACGCUGAGGCACGAAAGCGUGGGGAUCGAACAGGAUUAGAUACCCUAGUAGUCC